UUUGCUUCUUAUUCAGGGACGUCUUCCCGUAAAAUGGACCGUCAUCGAGGCGUUGCUUUACGGAAAAUAUUCGACGAAGAGUGAUGUGUGGAGCUACGGAGUUCUCCUCUAUGAGAUUUUUACGAUUGGUGGUUCACCUUAUCCACGAAUGGAUGGAAGAAAAAUCGCUAACUCACUUCAAGAGGGAUACAGAAUGCCUAAACCACAACAUAUGGAUGAUAAGUUGUAU
Stylophora pistillata is the source of this 229-nucleotide long non-coding RNA. NCBI's taxonomy places the organism in Eukaryota, Metazoa, Cnidaria, Anthozoa, Scleractinia, Pocilloporidae. The record is from RefSeq and is a predicted model, not a curated record.